RNAcentral lists this ribosomal RNA (493 nucleotides) under uncultured bacterium. RNAcentral describes it as "partial 16S ribosomal RNA". It matches the Rfam family "Bacterial small subunit ribosomal RNA", at positions 30 to 507 of the family's 1533-position model. The record is from RNAcentral.
AGUGAACGCUGGCGGUAGGCCUAACACAUGCAAGUCGAACGGCAGCACAGUAAGAGCUUGCUCUUACGGGUGGCGAGUGGCGGACGGGUGAGGAAUACAUCGGAAUCUACUUUUUCGUGGGGGAUAACGUAGGGAAACUUACGCUAAUACCGCAUACGACCUACGGGUGAAAGCAGGGGAUCUUCGGACCUUGCGCGAUUGAAUGAGCCGAUGUCGGAUUAGAUAGUUGGCGGGGUAAAGGCCCACAAAGGCGAAGAGCCGUAGCUGGUCUGACAGGGUGAAGGGGCAGACGGGGAAUGAGGAACGGAACAGAACACUACGGGAGGCAGCAGUAGGGAGUGUUCGGCAAGGGACGGAAGGUGGAACGAGCAAAGACGGGGGAGUGAAGAAGGGUGUCGGAUCGUAAAGCUCUGUUGUAAGAGAAGAAAGAGUGUGAGAGUGGAAAGUGCACACUGUGACGGUAGCUUAACAGAAAGGGACGGCUAACUACGUG